RNAcentral lists this ribosomal RNA (253 nucleotides) under uncultured bacterium. Its description in RNAcentral is "partial 16S ribosomal RNA". It matches the Rfam family "Bacterial small subunit ribosomal RNA", at positions 524 to 776 of the family's 1533-position model. The record is from RNAcentral.
UACGUGGGGUGCGAGCGUUGUCCGGAAUUAUUGGGCGUAAAGAGCUUGUAGGCGGUUUGUCGCGUCUGCCGUGAAAAUUCGAGGCUCAACCUCGAACUUGCGGUGGGUACGGGCAGACUAGAGUGUGGUAGGGGAGACUGGAAUUCCUGGUGUAGCGGUGAAAUGCGCAGAUAUCAGGAGGAACACCGAUGGCGAAGGCAAGAGACUGGACCACUCCUGACGCUGAAACACGAAAGCGUGGGUCGCGAAUGGG